Molecule: ribosomal RNA, 343 nt
Filed under: bacterium enrichment culture clone ALO1_GLFRUDD03FT97F
Lineage: Bacteria
Description: bacterial SSU rRNA
Rfam family: Bacterial small subunit ribosomal RNA
Source: RNAcentral
GAGUUUGAUCUUGGCUCAGAUUGAACGCUGGCGGCAUGCCUUACACAUGCAAGUCGAACGGCAGCACGGGAGCUUGCUCCUGGUGGCGAGUGGCGAACGGGUGAGUAAUGCAUCGGAACGUAUCCUGGAGUGGGGGAUAACGUAGCGAAAGUUACGCUAAUACCGCAUAUUCUGUGAGCAGGAAAGCGGGGGACCUUCGGGCCUCGCGCUCUUGGAGCGGCCGAUGUCGGAUUAGCUAGUUGGUGAGGUAAAGGCUCACCAAGGCGACGAUCCGUAGCAGGUCUGAGAGGAUGAUCUGCCACACUGGAACUGAGACACGGUCCAGACUCCUACGGGAGCAGCA